AUUGAACGCUGGCGGCAUGAUUUACACAUGCAAGUCGAACGGUAACAGGCCGCAAGGUGCUGACGAGUGGCGAACGGGUGAGUAAUGCAUCGGAACGUGCCCAGUCGUGGGGGAUAACUACUCGAAAGAGUAGCUAAUACCGCAUACGAUCUAUGGAUGAAAGCGGGGGACCGUAAGGCCUCGCGCGAUUGGAGCGGCCGAUGUCAGAUUAGGUAGUUGGUGGGGUAAAGGCUCACCAAGCCAACGAUCUGUAGCUGGUCUGAGAGGACGACCAGCCACACUGGGACUGAGACACGGCCCAGACUCCUACGGGAGGCAGCAGUGGGGAAUUUUGGACAAUGGGCGCAAGCCUGAUCCAGCAAUGCCGCGUGCAGGAAGAAGGCCUUCGGGCUGUAAACUGCUUUUGUACGGAACGAAACGGCUCUGGUUAAUACCCGGGGCUAAUGACGGUACCGUAAGAAUAAGCACCGGCUAACUACGUG
Molecule: ribosomal RNA, 482 nt
Filed under: uncultured bacterium
Lineage: Bacteria
Description: partial 16S ribosomal RNA
Rfam family: Bacterial small subunit ribosomal RNA
Source: RNAcentral